AGCAACGCCGCGUGAUGAAGAAGGGUUUCGGCUCGUAAAGCUCUGUUGUUAAAGAAGAACGUGGGUAAGAGUAACUGUUUACCCAGUGACGGUAUUUAACCAGAAAGCCACGGCUAACUACGUGCCAGCAGCCGCGGUAAUACGUAGGUGGCAAGCGUUAUCCGGAUUUAUUGGGCGUAAAGCGAGCGCAGGCGGUCUUUUAAGUCUAAUGUGAAAGCCUUCGGCUCAACCGAAGAAGUGCAUUGGAAACUGGGAGACUUGAGUGCAGAAGAGGACAGUGGAACUCCAUGUGUAGCGGUGAAAUGCGUAGAUAUAUGGAAGAACACCAGUGGCGAAGGCGGCUGUCUGGUCUGCAACUGACGCUGAGGCUCGAAAGCAUGGGUAGCGAACAGGAUUAGAUACCCUGGUAGUCCAUGCCGUAAACGAUGAUUACUAAGUGUUGGAGGGUUUCCGCCCUUCAGUGCUGCAGCUAACGCAUUAAGUAAUCCGCCUGGGGAGUACGACCGCAAGGUUGAAACUCAAAAGAAUUGACGGGGGCCCGCACAAGCGGUGGAGCAUGUGGUUUAAUUCGAAGCUACGCGAAGAACCUUACCAGGUCUUGACAUCUUCUGACAGUCUAAGAGAUUAGAGGUUCCCUUCGGGGACAGAAUGACAGGUGGUGCAUGGUUGUCGUCAGCUCGUGUCGUGAGAUGUUGGGUUAAGUCCCGCAACGAGCGCAACCCUUAUUACUAGUUGCCAGCAUUAAGUUGGGCACUCUAGUGAGACUGCCGGUGACAAACCGGAGGAAGGUGGGGACGACGUCAAAUCAUCAUGCCCCUUAUGACCUGGGCUACACACGUGCUACAAUGGAUGGUACAACGAGUCGCGAGACCGCGAGGUUAAGCUAAUCUCUUAAAACCAUUCUCAGUUCGGACUGUAGGCUGCAACUCGCCUACACGAAGUCGGAAUCGCUAGUAAUCGCGGAUCAGCAUGCCGCGGUGAAUACGUUCCCGGGCCUUGUACACACCGCCCGUCACACCAUGAGAGUUUGUAACACCCAAAGCCGGUGGGGUAACCUUUUAGGAGCUAGCCGUCUAAGGG
This 1080-nucleotide ribosomal RNA is filed under the name Pediococcus pentosaceus. RNAcentral describes it as "bacterial SSU rRNA". It matches the Rfam family "Bacterial small subunit ribosomal RNA", at positions 390 to 1463 of the family's 1533-position model. The record is from RNAcentral. Lineage: Bacteria; Bacillati; Bacillota; Bacilli; Lactobacillales; Lactobacillaceae.